CCUCUGUUCUCCAUGCCUGCCACGCCUCCCACUGGGAGACCCCAACUAGAAAAUGGAGGGCUAGGAGCCUGGGUGAGACAAUCCCUAAUGUAACCCAAAGGCAGUUCUGGGCCACAGAGCAGGGAGGGGAAGGGACAUCUAUAGCUUUGCAGCAGCACAAGGAGAAGAGCCACCCUAAACACCAUACACCCAGAUGGUCUCCACCACUCAAGGCUUUUCUACUUUCGCUCUUCUAGGAAGGCUCUUCACAGACCACACCUACAUCUGACUAAUUGUCUUUCAAAGUUGAACUCAGCCAGUCUCUUAAAUUGCUAAGGUCAGGUGCAGCACUCCCCAAAGAAGUAGAGUUCCAGGCGUUGGUGUAUUUUUCCUAUUGCUUCACACCUGGAACCAGCAGCAUCCAUUACAGCUCCAGGAAGACAUGCAGGGAGCUAAUAUCAAAUCUGCACAUGAUGACUGCAACUUGUUCCAACUACCUGCAGAUUAGCUCAUCUGCUAUGCAGAGGAAACUGAUUUUAAUUUCCCUCUCUCCUACCUACAUAAGUAUCAGCCCUUGUUUCUUCCUCUACAGAAUCUGUGCUAACGUUUUGUAUAUAUCACUUUAUUUCGUCGUUACCCAUUGUGGAGCAGAGCUUAUUCUAACUGAGGCACAGAUCAGGGAACGGAGGCUCCAAUAAAUGAAGUAUCCAGAAGUUACACCAACAGUUAGUGGUGGAACAGUAAAUUGAGCCCAGAUUUGAUUCCUCACCAUUAUGCUCCAAGAACCAUAAAGACCAUAUAAAUAAAAUUAUUAGAUCUGGGGGCA
RNAcentral lists this long non-coding RNA (805 nucleotides) under Felis catus (domestic cat). RNAcentral describes it as "lncRNA (ENSFCAG00000052860.1)". Lineage: Eukaryota; Metazoa; Chordata; Mammalia; Carnivora; Felidae. The record is from RNAcentral.